Molecule: ribosomal RNA, 2924 nt
Filed under: Escherichia coli
Lineage: Bacteria; Pseudomonadati; Pseudomonadota; Gammaproteobacteria; Enterobacterales; Enterobacteriaceae
Description: 23S ribosomal RNA
Rfam family: Bacterial large subunit ribosomal RNA
Source: RNAcentral
GGGUUGUGAGGUUAAGCGACUAAGCGUACACGGUGGAUGCCCUGGCAGUCAGAGGCGAUGAAGGACGUGCUAAUCUGCGAUAAGCGUCGGUAAGGUGAUAUGAACCGUUAUAACCGGCGAUUUCCGAAUGGGGAAACCCAGUGUGUUUCGACACACUAUCAUUAACUGAAUCCAUAGGUUAAUGAGGCGAACCGGGGGAACUGAAACAUCUAAGUACCCCGAGGAAAAGAAAUCAACCGAGAUUCCCCCAGUAGCGGCGAGCGAACGGGGAGGAGCCCAGAGCCUGAAUCAGUGUGUGUGUUAGUGGAAGCGUCUGGAAAGGCGCGCGAUACAGGGUGACAGCCCCGUACACAAAAAUGCACAUAUUGUGAGCUCGAUGAGUAGGGCGGGACACGUGGUAUCCUGUCUGAAUAUGGGGGGACCAUCCUCCAAGGCUAAAUACUCCUGACUGACCGAUAGUGAACCAGUACCGUGAGGGAAAGGCGAAAAGAACCCCGGCGAGGGGAGUGAAAAAGAACCUGAAACCGUGUACGUACAAGCAGUGGGAGCCUCUUUUAUGGGGUGACUGCGUACCUUUUGUAUAAUGGGUCAGCGACUUAUAUUCUGUAGCAAGGUUAACCGAAUAGGGGAGCCGAAGGGAAACCGAGUCUUAACUGGGCGUUAAGUUGCAGGGUAUAGACCCGAAACCCGGUGAUCUAGCCAUGGGCAGGUUGAAGGUUGGGUAACACUAACUGGAGGACCGAACCGACUAAUGUUGAAAAAUUAGCGGAUGACUUGUGGCUGGGGGUGAAAGGCCAAUCAAACCGGGAGAUAGCUGGUUCUCCCCGAAAGCUAUUUAGGUAGCGCCUCGUGAAUUCAUCUCCGGGGGUAGAGCACUGUUUCGGCAAGGGGGUCAUCCCGACUUACCAACCCGAUGCAAACUGCGAAUACCGGAGAAUGUUAUCACGGGAGACACACGGCGGGUGCUAACGUCCGUCGUGAAGAGGGAAACAACCCAGACCGCCAGCUAAGGUCCCAAAGUCAUGGUUAAGUGGGAAACGAUGUGGGAAGGCCCAGACAGCCAGGAUGUUGGCUUAGAAGCAGCCAUCAUUUAAAGAAAGCGUAAUAGCUCACUGGUCGAGUCGGCCUGCGCGGAAGAUGUAACGGGGCUAAACCAUGCACCGAAGCUGCGGCAGCGACACUAUGUGUUGUUGGGUAGGGGAGCGUUCUGUAAGCCUGUGAAGGUGUGCUGUGAGGCAUGCUGGAGGUAUCAGAAGUGCGAAUGCUGACAUAAGUAACGAUAAAGCGGGUGAAAAGCCCGCUCGCCGGAAGACCAAGGGUUCCUGUCCAACGUUAAUCGGGGCAGGGUGAGUCGACCCCUAAGGCGAGGCCGAAAGGCGUAGUCGAUGGGAAACAGGUUAAUAUUCCUGUACUUGGUGUUACUGCGAAGGGGGGACGGAGAAGGCUAUGUUGGCCGGGCGACGGUUGUCCCGGUUUAAGCGUGUAGGCUGGUUUUCCAGGCAAAUCCGGAAAAUCAAGGCUGAGGCGUGAUGACGAGGCACUACGGUGCUGAAGCAACAAAUGCCCUGCUUCCAGGAAAAGCCUCUAAGCAUCAGGUAACAUCAAAUCGUACCCCAAACCGACACAGGUGGUCAGGUAGAGAAUACCAAGGCGCUUGAGAGAACUCGGGUGAAGGAACUAGGCAAAAUGGUGCCGUAACUUCGGGAGAAGGCACGCUGAUAUGUAGGUGAAGUCCCUCGCGGAUGGAGCUGAAAUCAGUCGAAGAUACCAGCUGGCUGCAACUGUUUAUUAAAAACACAGCACUGUGCAAACACGAAAGUGGACGUAUACGGUGUGACGCCUGCCCGGUGCCGGAAGGUUAAUUGAUGGGGUCAGCGCAAGCGAAGCUCUUGAUCGAAGCCCCGGUAAACGGCGGCCGUAACUAUAACGGUCCUAAGGUAGCGAAAUUCCUUGUCGGGUAAGUUCCGACCUGCACGAAUGGCGUAAUGAUGGCCAGGCUGUCUCCACCCGAGACUCAGUGAAAUUGAACUCGCUGUGAAGAUGCAGUGUACCCGCGGCAAGACGGAAAGACCCCGUGAACCUUUACUAUAGCUUGACACUGAACAUUGAGCCUUGAUGUGUAGGAUAGGUGGGAGGCUUAGAAGUGUGGACGCCAGUCUGCAUGGAGCCGACCUUGAAAUACCACCCUUUAAUGUUUGAUGUUCUAACGUUGACCCGUGAUCCGGGUUGCGGACAGUGUCUGGUGGGUAGUUUGACUGGGGCGGUCUCCUCCUAAAGAGUAACGGAGGAGCACGAAGGUUGGCUAAUCCUGGUCGGACAUCAGGAGGUUAGUGCAAUGGCAUAAGCCAGCUUGACUGCGAGCGUGACGGCGCGAGCAGGUGCGAAAGCAGGUCAUAGUGAUCCGGUGGUUCUGAAUGGAAGGGCCAUCGCUCAACGGAUAAAAGGUACUCCGGGGAUAACAGGCUGAUACCGCCCAAGAGUUCAUAUCGACGGCGGUGUUUGGCACCUCGAUGUCGGCUCAUCACAUCCUGGGGCUGAAGUAGGUCCCAAGGGUAUGGCUGUUCGCCAUUUAAAGUGGUACGCGAGCUGGGUUUAGAACGUCGUGAGACAGUUCGGUCCCUAUCUGCCGUGGGCGCUGGAGAACUGAGGGGGGCUGCUCCUAGUACGAGAGGACCGGAGUGGACGCAUCACUGGUGUUCGGGUUGUCAUGCCAAUGGCACUGCCCGGUAGCUAAAUGCGGAAGAGAUAAGUGCUGAAAGCAUCUAAGCACGAAACUUGCCCCGAGAUGAGUUCUCCCUGACUCCUUGAGAGUCCUGAAGGAACGUUGAAGACGACGACGUUGAUAGGCCGGGUGUGUAAGCGCAGCGAUGCGUUGAGCUAACCGGUACUAAUGAACCGUGAGGCUUAACCUUACAACGCCGAAG